Molecule: ribosomal RNA, 433 nt
Filed under: uncultured bacterium
Lineage: Bacteria
Description: partial 16S ribosomal RNA
Rfam family: Bacterial small subunit ribosomal RNA
Source: RNAcentral
AGCGAACGCUGGCGGCAGGCCUAACACAUGCAAGUCGAACGACCUCUUCGUACUUAGUUGCGGACGGGGGGGUAACACGUGGGAACGUGCCUUUAGGUUCCGAAUACUUCAGUUAAACUUGUGCUAAUACCGAAUGUGCUAUUCGGGGGAAGGAUUUAUCGCCUUUUGGGCGGCCCGCGUCUGUUUAGCUAGUUGGUGAUGUAAAGGCUGACCAAGGCGACGAUCAGUGGCUGGUCUGAGACGAUGAUCAGCCACGUUGGGACUGAGACACGGACCAAAAUCCUAGGGGAGGGAGCGGUGGGGAAUCUUGCGCAAUGGGCGAAAGCCUGACACAGCCACGCGGGGUGAAUGAUGAAGGUGUUAGGAUUGUAAAAUUCUUUCAGAGGGGACGAUAAUGACGGUAACCGGAGAAGAAGCCCCGGCUAACUUCGUG